GUUUAGCCCUGAUGGAAGUGGAAAUCCUGUCAUUGCGUAGUACGAAUUUCUCUGAAAGAUUGCUUCAUUCCUCGCAAUGACAGAUUGGAACGAACAGCAGGAAUUGCG
Molecule: small RNA, 108 nt
Filed under: Flavobacterium dankookense
Lineage: Bacteria; Pseudomonadati; Bacteroidota; Flavobacteriia; Flavobacteriales; Flavobacteriaceae
Description: Flavobacterium sp. ARSA-19 Flavo-1 RNA
Rfam family: Flavo-1 RNA
Source: Rfam by way of RNAcentral